GACGUAGGGGGCGAGCGUUGUCCGGAUUUAUUGGGCGUAAAGCGCGCGUAGGCGGUUCGUUAAGUCGGGUGUGAAAACCCGGGGCUCAACUCCAGAACUGCCUUUGAUACUGGCGAUCUUGAGUCCGGGAGAGGUGAGUGGAACUGCGAGUGUAGAGGUGAAAUUCGUAGAUAUUCGCAAGAACACCAGUGGCGAAGGCGGCUCACUGGCCCGGUACUGACGCUGAGGUGCGAAAGCGUGGGGAGCAAACAGG
This 253-nucleotide ribosomal RNA is filed under the name uncultured bacterium. RNAcentral's name for it is "partial 16S ribosomal RNA". It matches the Rfam family "Bacterial small subunit ribosomal RNA", at positions 524 to 776 of the family's 1533-position model. The record is from RNAcentral.